RNAcentral lists this non-coding RNA (229 nucleotides) under Clostridium sp. RNAcentral describes it as "T-box sequence". It matches the Rfam family "T-box leader". From Rfam's summary of the family: Uncharged tRNA acts as the effector for transcription antitermination of genes in the T-box leader family. T-boxes are found upstream of many aminoacyl-tRNA synthetase genes and some amino acid biosynthetic genes usually in Gram-positive bacteria. The anticodon of a specific tRNA base pairs to a specifier sequence within the T-box motif, and the NCCA acceptor tail of the tRNA base pairs to a conserved bulge in the T-box antiterminator hairpin. Lineage: Bacteria; Bacillati; Bacillota; Clostridia; Eubacteriales; Clostridiaceae. The record is from RNAcentral.
AAAAAAACAAAGAAAAAGAGGAGUAUGUUUAUACUUGCUUAAAAGAGAAAAGAAGUCAUAGGCUGUAAGCUUCUUAAGAAAAAGGUAAACAAAAGGUAGCUUUGGAGUUGAUAUAUUGAAAUUAAAGUAAAUAUAUUCGCAUAAGCAGCGUUAAAGGCUAAUUGAGAUAAUAUUUAUAAAAUAAAUAUUAAUUAAGGUGGUACCGUGAGAAAUAAUGCUCGCCCUUAUU